UACGUAGGGUGCGAGCGUUAAUCGGAAUUACUGGGCGUAAAGCGUGCGCAGGCGGUUUUUUAAGCCAACUGUGAAAGCCCCGGGCUCAACCUGGGAAUGGCAUUUGGGACUGCAAGGCUGGAGUUUGGCAGAGGAGACUGGAAUUCCUGGUGUAGCAGUGAAAUGCGUAGAUAUCAGGAGGAAUACCGAUGGCGAAGGCAGGUCUCUGGGCUAUAACUGACGCUCAUGCACGAAAGCGUGGGGAGCAAACAGG
This 253-nucleotide ribosomal RNA is filed under the name uncultured bacterium. RNAcentral's name for it is "partial 16S ribosomal RNA". It matches the Rfam family "Bacterial small subunit ribosomal RNA", at positions 524 to 776 of the family's 1533-position model. The record is from RNAcentral.